CCCAAUCUUUGUAAUCACUUCUAACAUAUUUUUGUAUCUGGAUGUUAUAAACUGCAUGCAACCGCUACAACAUUCAGCUUUUUUUGGCAUCGACCAAUUGCAAGAAACUAUUGUUGCAGUUGCAAAAUCUUCUCUGCAUGUGAAGAGAAUCAGGCUAAUUAGCACAUUGAUUUUUUUUUCUUGAUUAACUUUUCUUGACCUAAUCUAAAACUGCCAACACUUGCAGGAGAAUCUGUGCAAGGAUGACAAGUAGAAGGUUCCCUUCUGCAUGAAAAGGAACAUAUAGUGGGGAAAGAGGAGAGAACAGAAGGCAUUUCUUCUUUGUUUUGUGACCUUAUAUGGAUUCUUCAUCGGAUUCCAUAACUGCAGGAACAUGCAAUGUAUCAGUGAUGCAGAUGGCGAUGACAAAGACUGUCAGGUAGGAGAGUUGUGACAAAACUGUGCUCUUGAGGAACCUGAUUCCCUGGCUCCCCGUGGAAUUAUCCCUUGUGGUUGUAUUCUCAUCAAAUGGAAACCAUGUUGUGUAUGGAGGUAGAUACCUAGAAGCAAUAAUGAGCAGAAUUUGAGACAAGAACAGCUGAAAAAAUGUACUUCUACUCAAAGUUUCGGAACACGACUGCUUUACUGCAACGAAACUCAGGUGUGUGCAUGCAGUUUUGUACUAAGGCGGAUCUAAAACCACUGCGUCAUGUAGCAUAUCUUCUGUUUUCUCUUUGGAUGCCAAAACUAGACAACAGGUCAGCUAAGGUGAUGUAACUCGGCCUCGAUGAACACUCUGGUGCCUUGAUUUAUCCUCAGCAACAGCAAAUGAAGUGACAAGAAGAUGGGAACUGUGGCUGAAUUGAAAUUACGUUUGACUGCUCGUGGCCGCAUAGUGGCAUGAACCACUGAUAUGAAUGGACUUUAGAGAACAAUAUGAGAAUGGCUUAGAAACAUGCAAUAUCUACUAAAAAUCCUUGUCAGUGAAAAACUUCGGUGCUAACUAUAAUUGGCAGAAGAUCAUUGGGAAAAAAUCUUAUUGCUUUCCAAAUGUCAACUUAAAUGCUUUGUUUUAGUGUA
This is a long non-coding RNA of Panicum virgatum (switchgrass), 1059 nucleotides long. RefSeq lists it as uncharacterized. The record is from RefSeq and is a predicted model, not a curated record. The transcript has 2 exons. Lineage: Eukaryota; Viridiplantae; Streptophyta; Magnoliopsida; Poales; Poaceae.